GCCUCUGUAGCGCAGUGGUUAACGCGUUCGGCUGUUAACCGAAAGGUCGAGAGUUCGAAUCUCUCCAGGGGCG
RNAcentral lists this transfer RNA (73 nucleotides) under Ordospora colligata. Its description in RNAcentral is "tRNA-Asn". It matches the Rfam family "tRNA". Rfam says of the family: Transfer RNA (tRNA) molecules are approximately 80 nucleotides in length. Lineage: Eukaryota; Fungi; Microsporidia; Ordosporidae. The record is from RNAcentral.